CAGGCUGAAACUCGCCUGCACGAGGUUGGAAUUGCUAGUAAUCGCGGAUCAGCAUGCCGCGGUGAAUACGUUCCCGGGUCUUGUACACACCGCCCGUCACACCAUGGGAGCUGGUAACACCCGAAGUCAGUAGUCUAACCGCAAGGAGGACGCUGCCGAAGGUGGGAUUAGCGACUGGGGUGAAGUCGUAACAAGGUAAC
This 200-nucleotide ribosomal RNA is filed under the name uncultured bacterium. RNAcentral describes it as "partial 16S ribosomal RNA". It matches the Rfam family "Bacterial small subunit ribosomal RNA", at positions 1301 to 1500 of the family's 1533-position model. The record is from RNAcentral.